RNAcentral lists this ribosomal RNA (253 nucleotides) under uncultured bacterium. RNAcentral's name for it is "partial 16S ribosomal RNA". It matches the Rfam family "Bacterial small subunit ribosomal RNA", at positions 524 to 776 of the family's 1533-position model. The record is from RNAcentral.
UACGUAGGGGGCAAGCGUUGUCCGGAAUCAUUGGGCGUAAAGAGCGUGUAGGCGGCCCGGUAAGUCCGCCGUGAAAGUCCAGGGCUCAACCCUGGAAUGCCGGUGGAUACUGUCGGGCUAGAGUCCGGAAGGGGCGAGUGGAAUUCCUGGUGUAGCGGUGAAAUGCGCAGAUAUCAGGAGGAACACCGAUGGCGAAGGCAGCUCGCUGGGACGGUACUGACGCUGAGACGCGAAAGCAUGGGGAGCAAACAGG